AUGAAGCUUAGCUCUCACUGGGGCCUUCAAUUUGUAUCCUUGCUCAACACAGUAGGGUGGUGCAUUCUAGGCACUCUUUUCUAUUCCUUGAUAGAAUACUCCCUGGAAGCCUCCAGUAUCAACCAGACUAUGGAAAAGCUUAAUGAAAUAAUGCACAAAAGACUCAUAAGCAUCAGUGAAAUCUCUCAAGUAACCAAGCACCUUAUUUAUGAAAGAGCUCAGAUACUAUUACUUCUUAAGCCUUCGUCUGGAGGAAUCCAUCAAUGUCCUUUUUCAAACUCUAAAAACACUCUCCAAAGAAGAAAGGCUAACUCUGUUCUGUGA
RNAcentral lists this long non-coding RNA (324 nucleotides) under Vulpes vulpes (red fox). RNAcentral's name for it is "lncRNA (ENSVVUG00000028783.1)". Lineage: Eukaryota; Metazoa; Chordata; Mammalia; Carnivora; Canidae. The record is from RNAcentral.